Molecule: non-coding RNA, 72 nt
Organism: Caulochytrium protostelioides
Lineage: Eukaryota; Fungi; Chytridiomycota; Caulochytriomycetes; Caulochytriales; Caulochytriaceae
Source: the annotation of a GenBank genome assembly
UCCUUCAUGGUCCAGUGGUUAGGAUUUCUCGCUUUCACCGAGAAGGCCGGGGUUCGAUUCCCCGUGUAGGAG